RNAcentral lists this ribosomal RNA (1647 nucleotides) under metagenome. Its description in RNAcentral is "bacterial LSU rRNA". It matches the Rfam family "Bacterial large subunit ribosomal RNA", at positions 1212 to 2925 of the family's 2925-position model. The record is from RNAcentral.
UUAGUUAUGCAAGUUGGUAGGGGAGCAUUCUAUUAUAGGGAGAAGCAUGACCGGAAGGACAUGUGGACGAGAUAGAAGAGAGAAUGCCGGAAUGAGUAGCGAGAAUUAUGUGAGAAUCAUAAUGGUCGAAAACCUAAGGUUUCUUGAGGAAGGUUCGUCCGCUCAAGGUAAGCCGGGAGCUAAGGCGAGGCCGAAAGGCGUAGUCGAUGCACAUACGGUAGAAAUUCCGUAGCCACCGAAAUUGUUAAACACAGGGACGCAGGAACAUAAUCCAACCGCACCGAUGGUCGAGUGCGGCGAAAGGGAGCGAAAAUUAAGUAGCGAAGUGGAUGAUUGUACACUGACGAGAAAAGCUGUGUGGAUUGAUGAGGUGCCCGUACCGUAAACCGACACAGGUGGGUGAGGAGAGAAUCCUAAGACCAGCGGGAGAAGUGUUGUUAAGGAACUCGGCAAAUUGACCCCGUAACUUCGGGAAAAGGGGUGCCUGCUAGCGCAGGCCGCAGAGAAUAGGCCCAAGCGACUGUUUAGCAAAAACACAGGUCUCUGCUAAAUCGAAAGAUGAAGUAUAGGGGCUGACGCCUGCCCGGUGCCGGAAGGUUAAGAGGAGGACUUAGCGCAAGCGAAGGUCUGAAUUGAAGCCCCGGUAAACGGCGGCCGUAACGAUAACGGUCCUAAGGUAGCGAAAUUCCUUGUCAGGUAAGUUCUGACCCGCACGAAUGGCGUAACGAUUUGGGCACUGUCUCAACAACACACCCGGUGAAAUUGUAGUACCGGUGAAGAUGCCGGUUACCCGCGACUAGACGGAAAGACCCCAUGGAGCUUUACUGUAACUUGAUAUUGGAUUUUGGUAUUGCAUGUACAGGAUAGGUGGGAGACUGAGAAGCACAGACGCCAGUUUGUGUGGAGUCAAUGUUGGGAUACCACUCUUGUGAUACUGGAAUUCUAACCUGCGGCCGUGAAACCGGUCGGGGGACAAUGUCUGGUGGACAGUUUGACUGGGGCGGUCGCCUCCUAAAGAGUAACGGAGGCGUUCAAAGGUUAGCUCAGUACGGUCAGAAAUCGUACGAAGAGUGCAAACGCAAAAGCAAGCCUAACUGCGAGACGAACAGGUCGAGCAGUGACGAAAGUUGGAGUUAGUGAUCCGGCGGUAAGAGAGUGGAAUUGCCGUCGCUCAACGGAUAAAAGCUACCCUGGGGAUAACAGGCUGAUCUCCCCCAAGAGUCCAUAUCGACGGGGAGGUUUGGCACCUCGAUGUCGGCUCAUCGCAUCCUGGAGCUGGAGUCGGUUCCAAGGGUUGGGCUGUUCGCCCAUUAAAGCGGUACGCGAGCUGGGUUCAGAACGUCGCGAGACAGUUCGGUCCCUAUCUGUCGCGGGCGCAGGAAAUUUGAAGGGAGCUGUCCUUAGUACGAGAGGACCGGGAUGGACGUACCACUGGUGUACCAGUUGUCUUGCCAAAGGCACGGCUGGGUAGCUAAGUACGGAAGGAAUAAACGCUGAAGGCAUCUAAGCGUGAAGUCCCCCCUAAGAUAAGAUUUCCCAUUCUUUAAAAGAAGUAAGACCCCACGUAGACUAUGUGGUUGAUAGGUCGGAGGUGUAAGUGUGGUAACACAUUAAGCUGACCGAUACUAAUAGGUCGAGGGCUUGACC